RNAcentral lists this long non-coding RNA (1071 nucleotides) under Gouania willdenowi (blunt-snouted clingfish). RNAcentral describes it as "lncRNA (ENSGWIG00000008071.1)". The record is from RNAcentral. Lineage: Eukaryota; Metazoa; Chordata; Actinopteri; Blenniiformes; Gobiesocidae.
AUGGAUGCCGCUGAAGCUCAGGAAUUGAGGGAUCUGGUGAAACGACUACAAACGGACAAUGAACUUUUACGACAGGAGCGAGCAGCUGCUCAGGAGGACCCUGGUGAGGGUUCUUCCUCUCGGAACUCUGCUGGUAACCCUACUCGACGCACCUCUGGCCAUGGACACUCUACUACCGGUGAACGUAUUCUUUACAUUCCUCGGGAGCGUAAAUGCCCCACUUUUAGAGGGAGUACGGGCAUUGGAAUUAAUGACUGGGUCGAGGAGGUACGGGCUAGUAUGCGGGCUAGGUACCUUUCGCCACUUGACCAGGCUUAUUUUAUUUAUGAUCAUAUUGAGGGAGAAGCAAAGGAAGAAAUUAGGUACAGGCCUGAAGCCGAGCGGGAAAAUCCUGAAACUAUUCUGAGAAUUUUGCAGGAACUGUAUGGGUGUUCAAAAUCAUACGUUGCGCUUCAAGAGAAUUUCUUUUCUAGAAAACAGCUGGAAGGCGAAACACUUCAAGAGUAUUCACAUGCUCUAUUUUGUUUAAUGGAAAAGGUUACCAAAAGUGCUCCAGGUGUGUUUCAGGAUUCAGCUGUUCUGUUAAGAGACCAAUUUGUUGAGCAUGUACUUGACCCAUCUUUACGUAGGGAAUUAAAGAGGCUUGUUCGGUUACACCCUGGUUACACUCUUUUAGAUGUGAGACGUGAAGCAAUUAGGUGGGAGCAAGAGGGCCAACCUUCAGACCCAAGGGGGCGCAGUCUGUCCGUACCAUCAUUUUGUGCCGUUCAGUGCUCUCAGGCGAGGGGGACUGGGAGUGUCCCAGUUACAUCUCAGGGUGACCUAGCUGAGCUUAAAGAAUUGUUGUUUAAACAACAGGAGCAGAUAAACCUGCUAACCCAAAAUAUGUUGCAGUUACAAAGUAACAGACCCCCUAGUUUUAAUCGAGGUGGCCCACUUAUUUGUAGACAAUGUCAACGGCCCGGUCACAUUGCCCGAAACUGUCGCCAGCCACAGCAUAGCCAGAGCACGGGGCCCCCCUGUCCUCAACAGGGGCAGGCCACAUCAGCUAGUCAGCAGACGGAAAACUAA